UGCGGGAGCGGGCUUGCUCGCGAUAGCGCUGCAUCAGUCAAAGAUACAUCGACUGACACUCCGCUAUCGCGAGCAAGCCCGCUCCCACA
RNAcentral lists this unclassified non-coding RNA (89 nucleotides) under Pseudomonas mucidolens. Lineage: Bacteria; Pseudomonadati; Pseudomonadota; Gammaproteobacteria; Pseudomonadales; Pseudomonadaceae. The record is from RNAcentral.